RNAcentral lists this ribosomal RNA (540 nucleotides) under uncultured bacterium. RNAcentral's name for it is "bacterial SSU rRNA". It matches the Rfam family "Bacterial small subunit ribosomal RNA", at positions 355 to 896 of the family's 1533-position model. The record is from RNAcentral.
UGAGGAAUAUUGGUCAAUGGACGAGAGUCUGAACCAGCCAAGUAGCGUGCAGGAUGACGGCCCUAUGGGUUGUAAACUGCUUUUGUAUGGGGAUAAAGUUAGGGACGUGUCCCUAUUUGCAGGUACCAUACGAAUAAGGACCGGCUAAUUCCGUGCCAGCAGCCGCGGUAAUACGGAAGGUCCGGGCGUUAUCCGGAUUUAUUGGGCUUAAAGGGAGCGUAGGCCGGAGAUUAAGUGUGUUGUGAAAUGUAGACGCUCAACGUCUGACUUGCAGCGCAUACUGGUUUCCUUGAGUACGCACAACGUUGGCGGAAUUCGUCGUGUAGCGGUGAAAUGCUUAGAUAUGACGAAGAACUCCGAUUGCGAAGGCAGCUGACGGGAGCGCAACUGACGCUUAAGCUCGAAGGUGCGGGUAUCGAACAGGAUUAGAUACCCUGGUAGUCCGCACAGUAAACGAUGGAUGCCCGCUGUUGGUACCUGGUAUCAGCGGCUAAGCGAAAGCAUUAAGCAUCCCACCUGGGGAGUACGCCGGCAACGGUG